RNAcentral lists this ribosomal RNA (540 nucleotides) under uncultured bacterium. RNAcentral describes it as "bacterial SSU rRNA". It matches the Rfam family "Bacterial small subunit ribosomal RNA", at positions 969 to 1509 of the family's 1533-position model. The record is from RNAcentral.
CCUUACCUGGCCUUGACAUACUAAGAACUUCCAGAGAUGGAUUGGUGCCUUCGGGAACUUAGAUACAGGUGCUGCAUGGCUGUCGUCAGCUCGUGUCGUGAGAUGUUGGGUAAGUCCCGCAACGAGCGCAACCCUUUUCCUUAUUUGCCAGCGGGUUAAGCCGGGAACUUUAAGGAUACUGCCAGUGACAAACUGGGAGGAAGGCGGGGACGACGUCAAGUCAUCAUGGCCCUUACGGCCAGGGCUACACACGUGCUACAAUGGUCGGUACAAAGGGUUGCUACCUCGCGAGAGGAUGCUAAUCUCAAAAAGCCGAUCGUAGUCCGGAUCGCAGUCUGCAACUCGACUGCGUGAAGUCGGAAUCGCUAGUAAUCGCGGAUCAGAAUGCCGCGGUGAAUACGUUCCCGGGCCUUGUACACACCGCCCGUCACACCAUGGGAGUUUGUUGCACCAGAAGUAGGUAGUCUAACCGCAAGGAGGACGCUUACCACGGUGUGGCCGAUGACUGGGGUGAAGUCGUAACAAGGUAAGCGUAGAUGA